This 254-nucleotide ribosomal RNA is filed under the name uncultured bacterium. RNAcentral describes it as "partial 16S ribosomal RNA". It matches the Rfam family "Bacterial small subunit ribosomal RNA", at positions 524 to 776 of the family's 1533-position model. The record is from RNAcentral.
UACGUAGGGUGCGAGCGUUGUCCGGAAUUAUUGGGCGUAAAGAGCUCGUAGGCGGUCUGUCGCGUCGGUCGUGAAAACCUGCAGCUUAACUGUGGGCGUGCGGUCGAUACGGGCAUGACUGGAGUUCGGCAGGGGAGACUGGAAUUCCUGGUGUAGCGGUGAAAUGCGCAGAUAUCAGGAGGAACACCGGUGGCGAAAGCGGGUCUCUGGGCCGAUACUGACGCUGAGGAGCGAAAGCGUGGGGAGCGAACAGG